Molecule: ribosomal RNA, 413 nt
Filed under: uncultured prokaryote
Description: bacterial SSU rRNA
Rfam family: Bacterial small subunit ribosomal RNA
Source: RNAcentral
GUGUCAGCCGCCGCGGUAAUACGGAGGGGGCGAGCGUUAUUCGGAAUCACUGGGCGUAAAGCGUACGUAGGCGGCUUAACAAGUCAGAAGUGAAAUCCCAGGGCUUAACCCUGGAACUGCUUUUGAAACUGUUUCGCUAGAAUAUCGGAGAGGUCAGGAGAAUUCCUAGUGUAGAGGUGAAAUUCGUAGAUAUUAGGAGGAAUACCAGUGGCGUAGGCGCCUGACUGGACGAUUAUUGACGCUGAGGUACGAAAGCGUGGGGAGCAAACAGGAUUAGAUACCCUGGUAGUCCACGCCGUAAACGAUGUGAACUAGUUGUCAGGUCCUUAGAGGCUUGGUGACGCAGCUAACGCACUAAGUUCACCGCCUGGGAAGUACGGCCGCAAGGUUAAAACUUAAAUGAAUUGACGGGG